RNAcentral lists this ribosomal RNA (253 nucleotides) under uncultured bacterium. RNAcentral describes it as "partial 16S ribosomal RNA". It matches the Rfam family "Bacterial small subunit ribosomal RNA", at positions 524 to 776 of the family's 1533-position model. The record is from RNAcentral.
UACGAAGGGGGCUAGCGCUGCUCGGAAUCACUGGGCGUAAAGCGCACGUAGGCGGCUUGUUAAGUCAGGGGUGAAAUCCUGGAGCUCAACUCCAGAACUGCCUUUGAUACUGGCGAUCUCGAGUCCGGGAGAGGUGAGUGGAACUGCGAGUGUAGAGGUGAAAUUCGUAGAUAUUCGCAAGAACACCAGUGGCGAAGGCGGCUCUCUGGCCCGGGACUGACGCUGAGAUGCGAAAGCGUGGGGAGCAAACAGG